Molecule: long non-coding RNA, 866 nt
Organism: Phascolarctos cinereus (koala)
Lineage: Eukaryota; Metazoa; Chordata; Mammalia; Diprotodontia; Phascolarctidae
Source: RefSeq, a predicted model, not a curated record
CUUUCAAAUACAGGACUCAAGUGGAACAUGAAGAGAUGGAAAUCAUCUCUCUGUGAACUCCUGAUGAAGAGCUGAUGGAGAAACCGGAAAGAUGGUGCCCAGAUAAGAAGUUCUGGAGAUGAAGCCAGAAAGCCAAAAGAAGGGAGAAGCACCACAACUUUGUUCCCGUGGACCCUCAUGGACCAAGCAAGGCAAUGUUGAGAAGCAGCCAUGUUUACCCACUACAGACCCAUGCAUCUGGCAGAUGCUACACAUUGGCCAAGACUAAUUAUCCAGUGGAGAUCACACCAUGGGAGCCCCAUAGGGAGCAGCCCUGGGACAUCAGAGGCAUGGGUUGGCCCUCCACAUGUACACCCUGACUGUGUACAUUCCAUGUGCCUAGAGGCAGUCUGUCUUUAGCCCUGAUCCAUUAAGCACUUGAAAUGAAUAGCUUAAAUAUGAUGAAGGCUAACAUCAAAUUUGUGGAGGGAUGGUUAAUAUGUUUAAUGACAAAUCUGGAAUGCAAAAAAAACCCUCAAAAAACCAAGAAACAAAAACUAAAGCCACCAACUUAGACUAGAAUGAUGCACUGAGUUGAAAACGAAACUUAGUAAGAAUAAAUUUAAAUUCCUGCACCUGGGUUCAAAGCAAUAAAUUACAGAAGAAUGGGAGGAUUGGCUCAAUGAAAGUUCAUUCAAAAAGAUCUAGGAGUUUUAGCUGACCAUAAGCUCAAUGUAUUCAAUAGUGGGAUUUGGCUGCCAGAAAAAGGGAAAAGAAUGGGAAUAAACGUUUCUUAAGCACCUCCUAAAUGCCAGGCAGUAUACUAAGUGCUUUAUAAAUAGUAUCUUAUUUGAUCCUCACAACAACCCCACAAGGUAGGUGCUGUU